This 301-nucleotide ribosomal RNA is filed under the name uncultured bacterium. RNAcentral's name for it is "partial 16S ribosomal RNA". It matches the Rfam family "Bacterial small subunit ribosomal RNA", at positions 509 to 812 of the family's 1533-position model. The record is from RNAcentral.
CAGUAGCCGCGGUAAUACAGAGGGUGCGAGCGUUAAUCGGAUUUACUGGGCGUAAAGCGUGCGUAGGCGGCUUCUUAAGUCGGAUGUGAAAUCCCUGAGCUUAACUUAGGAAUUGCAUUCGAUACUGGGAAGCUAGAGUAUGGGAGAGGAUGGUAGAAUUCCAGGUGUAGCGGUGAAAUGCGUAGAGAUCUGGAGGAAUACCGAUGGCGAAGGCAGCCAUCUGGCCUAAUACUGACGCUGAGGUACGAAAGCAUGGGGAGCAAACAGGAUUAGAUACCCGAGUAGUCGCUGUCUCUUAUAC